AGAGUUUGAUCCUGGCUCAGGACGAACGCUGGCGGCGUGCUUAACACAUGCAAGUCGUACGAGACGAUUGAAAGCUUGCUUUUGAAAGUCGAGUGGCAAACGGGUGAGUAACGCGUAGACAACCUGCCGUAAAGAUGGGGACAACAGUCCGAAAGGACUGCUAAUACCGAAUGUUGUGGAACUUCCGCAUGGGGGCUCCACUAAAGAUGGCCUCUACUUGUAAGCUAUCGCUUUACGAUGGGUCUGCGUCUGAUUAGCUAGUUGGUGGGGUAACGGCUUACCAAGGCGACGAUCAGUAGCCGGUCUGAGAGGAUGAACGGCCACAUUGGAACUGAGACACGGUCCAGACUCCUACGGGAGGCAGCAGUGGGGAAUCUUCCGCAAUGGGCGCAAGCCUGACGGAGCAACGCCGCGUGAGUGAAGAAGGGUUUCGACUCGUAAAGCUCUGUUGUCGGGGACGAAUGUGGAGAUGGUGAAUAACCAUUUUCAAUGACGGUACCUGACGAGGAAGCCACGGCUAACUACGUGCCAGCAGCCGCGGUAAUACGUNGNGNGAGCGUGUCCGAAUUAUUGGGCGUAAAGGGAGCGCNGNNGGNAGGUCAGU
RNAcentral lists this ribosomal RNA (604 nucleotides) under uncultured bacterium. RNAcentral's name for it is "bacterial SSU rRNA". It matches the Rfam family "Bacterial small subunit ribosomal RNA", at positions 8 to 587 of the family's 1533-position model. The record is from RNAcentral.